GACGAACGCUGGCGGCGUGCUUAACACAUGCCAGUCGAACGGAAAGGCCCUGCUUGCAGGGUACUCGAGUGGCGAACGGGUGAGUAACACGUGGGUGAUCUGCCCUGCACUUCGGGAUAAGCCUGGGAAACUGGGUCUAAUGCCGGAUAGGAGCCAUUUUUAGUGUGAUGGUUGGAAAGUUUUUUCGGUGUAGGAUGAGCUCGCGGCCUAUCAGCUUGUUGGUGGGGUAAUGGCCUACCAAGGCGGCGACGGGUAGCCGGCCUGAGAGGGUGGACGGCCACAUUGGGACUGAGAUACGGCCCAGACUCCUACGGGAGGCAGCAGUGGGGAAUAUUGCACAAUGGGCGCAAGCCUGAUGCAGCGACGCCGCGUGGGGGAUGACGGCCUUCGGGUUGUAAACUCCUUUCGCUAGGGACGAAGCUUUUUGUGACGGUACCUAGAUAAGAAGCACCGGCUAACUACGUG
This 465-nucleotide ribosomal RNA is filed under the name uncultured bacterium. Its description in RNAcentral is "partial 16S ribosomal RNA". It matches the Rfam family "Bacterial small subunit ribosomal RNA", at positions 28 to 507 of the family's 1533-position model. The record is from RNAcentral.